GACGAACGCUGGCGGCGUGCUUAACACAUGCCAGUCGAACGGAAAGGCCUUUUCGGAGGUACUCGAGUGGCGAACGGGUGAGUAACACGUGGGUGAUCUGCCCUGCACUCUGGGAUAAGCCUGGGAAACUGGGUCUAAUACCGGAUAGGACCGCACUUUAGUGUGUGUGGUGGUAAGCUUUUUCGGUGUAGGAUGAGCCCGCGGCCUAUCAGCUUGUUGGUGGGGUAAUGGACUACCAAGGCGACGACGGGUAGCGGGACGGAGAGGUUGGUCGGAAACACUAGGACUGAGAUAAGGCCCAGACACCUGCAGGAGGAAGGAGCGGGGAAUAUUGCACCAUGGGCGCAAGGCGGAUGCAGAGACGCCGCGGGGGGGAUGACGCCCUUCGGGUUGUAAACUCACUUCGCAAGGGACGAAGCGUUUUGUGACGGUACCUGGAGAAGAAGCACCGGCUAACUACGUG
RNAcentral lists this ribosomal RNA (463 nucleotides) under uncultured bacterium. RNAcentral's name for it is "partial 16S ribosomal RNA". It matches the Rfam family "Bacterial small subunit ribosomal RNA", at positions 28 to 507 of the family's 1533-position model. The record is from RNAcentral.